Long non-coding RNA from Pterocles gutturalis (yellow-throated sandgrouse), 334 nucleotides. RefSeq lists it as uncharacterized. The record is from RefSeq and is a predicted model, not a curated record. The transcript is spliced from 4 exons. NCBI's taxonomy places the organism in Eukaryota, Metazoa, Chordata, Aves, Pterocliformes, Pteroclidae.
GAUCAAAACCAAGCUCUCCGGCUGUGUCUGGGCAGCACUGCUGUUGGGGCCCAGUACGGGGCUAUCUCUGCUCUCAGUAUCAACAACGACUGCUCGAGGCUCCUGUGCGGCUUUGCCAAAGGACAGAUCACGAUGUGGGAUCUCGCCAGCGGGAAGCUGCUACGAUCAAUAACAGAUGCCCACCCACCAGGAACAGCCAUUUUGCACAUCAAGUUUACAGAUGACCCAACACUUGCAAUAUGCAAUGACAGCGGAGGCUCCGUAUUUGAACUGUCAUUUAAGAGGGUUAUGGGAGUGAGGACGUGUGAGUCUCGAUGUCUCUUCAGCGGCUCCA